This 73-nucleotide ribosomal RNA is filed under the name uncultured bacterium. RNAcentral's name for it is "partial 16S ribosomal RNA". The record is from RNAcentral.
UGGGAACCUUCCCUAUGGUUCGGAAUAGCCCAGGGAAACUUGGGGUAAUACCGAAUAAGCCCUUCGGGGGAAA